This 417-nucleotide ribosomal RNA is filed under the name Grosmannia grandifoliae. Its description in RNAcentral is "eukaryotic LSU rRNA". It matches the Rfam family "Eukaryotic large subunit ribosomal RNA", at positions 1 to 419 of the family's 3401-position model. Lineage: Eukaryota; Fungi; Ascomycota; Sordariomycetes; Ophiostomatales; Ophiostomataceae. The record is from RNAcentral.
UUGACCUCGGAUCAGGUAGGACUACCCGCUGAACUUAAGCAUAUCAAUAAGCGGAGGAAAAGAAACCAACAGGGAUUGCCUCAGUAACGGCGAGUGAAGCGGCAACAGCUCAGAUUUGGAAUCUGGCCCCCAGGGCCCGAGUUGUAAUCUGGAGAGGAUGCUUCUGGCGCGGCGCCUUCCGAGUUCCCUGGAACGGGACGCCAGAGAGGGUGAAAGCCCCGUACGGUCGGACGCUAAGCCUCUGUGAAGCUCCUUCGACGAGUCGAGUAGUUUGGGAAUGCUGCUCAAAAUGGGAGGUAAAUUUCUUCUAAAGCUAAAUACCGGCCAGAGACCGAUAGCGCACAAGUAGAGUGAUCGAAAGAUGAAAAGCACUUUGAAAAGAGGGUUAAACAGUACGUGAAAUUGUUGAAAGGGAAG